Molecule: ribosomal RNA, 478 nt
Filed under: uncultured bacterium
Lineage: Bacteria
Description: partial 16S ribosomal RNA
Rfam family: Bacterial small subunit ribosomal RNA
Source: RNAcentral
GACGAACGCUGGCGGCGUGCUUAACACAUGCAAGUCGAACGGUAAGGCCCUUCGGGGUACACGAGUGGCGAACGGGUGAGUAACACGUGGGUGAUCUGCCCUGCACUUCGGGACAAGCCUGGGAAACUGGGUCUAAUACCGGAUAGGACCACUGCCUGCAUGGGUGGUGGUGGAAAGCUUUUGCGGUGUAGGAUGGGCCCGCGGCCGAUCAGCUUGUUGGUGGGGUGAUGGCCUACCAUGGCGACGACGGGUAGCCGGCCUGAGAGGGUGACCGGCCACACUGGGACUGAGAUACGGCCCAGACUCCUACGGGAGGCAGCAGUGGGGAAUAUUGCACAAUGGGCGCAAGCCUGAUGCAGCGACGCCGCGUGAGGGAUGACGGCCUUCGGGUUGUAAACCUCUUUCAGCACCGACGAAGCGCAAGUGACGGUAGGUGCAGAAGAAGGACCGGCCAACUACGUGCCAGCAGCCGCGGUAA